Molecule: long non-coding RNA, 101 nt
Organism: Nomascus leucogenys (northern white-cheeked gibbon)
Lineage: Eukaryota; Metazoa; Chordata; Mammalia; Primates; Hylobatidae
Exons: 3
Source: RefSeq, a predicted model, not a curated record
AUAUAUAUGUAUAUACACAUACAGGCAGCAAAUGGCAUGAUGAAUAAAAUAGUACCUCAUAUCUCAAUACUAACAUUGAAUGUAAAUGGCCAAAAUGCUCC